GGUGUUGUAGCUUAGUGGCAGAGCACUUACCUAGCAAGUGGGAGGCACUGGGUUUCAUCCUUAGCACCA
Molecule: transfer RNA, 69 nt
Filed under: Ictidomys tridecemlineatus (thirteen-lined ground squirrel)
Lineage: Eukaryota; Metazoa; Chordata; Mammalia; Rodentia; Sciuridae
Description: Spermophilus tridecemlineatus (thirteen-lined ground squirrel) tRNA
Rfam family: tRNA
About the family: Transfer RNA (tRNA) molecules are approximately 80 nucleotides in length.
Source: Rfam by way of RNAcentral